Electrophorus electricus (electric eel) is the source of this 1165-nucleotide long non-coding RNA. RefSeq lists it as uncharacterized. Lineage: Eukaryota; Metazoa; Chordata; Actinopteri; Gymnotiformes; Gymnotidae. The record is from RefSeq and is a predicted model, not a curated record.
CAUCGUCGAGUUAGCUAGUUAGCUAGCUAGCUUUUCUGAUUUUCGAUUAAAUUGUUAACUUCGCCGUGUAAUUUCUACCAUAACAGCGAAUCUAUCUUGUUCAGGCAGUUUUGCGCAUUUUUUGUUGAGACCUAAGAAUUCUUUCACUCUUUUCAUUGUGUUUUGUGUAAAAAAAUUGGUUUAAAAUUUUUUGUUGGUAAAUUAAAAACAUUAGGAGAUCAUUUGCAAGGGGUCCAGAGAUUUCGACUGCCUACAGGGGCCUCCACAGGAUUUAAUCCGGCACUGAUAACCACUAAAUACAUUUUCUAAACAUUUUGACACUGGUCCGACUAACCUAAACAUAAGGCCAGCUACUUAAUGCCGAAUAAAUGCUAAACGCGAGGAGAAUCAGGACUUUCAUGAUCGCGGUUUGAUUGAAAACCAGCUUUCAAUCACGAAGUUGUGAAAAACGUUGAUUCGAACAAAAACAAUAGGGUUAACCUUGACUGAAACAUUCAUAUACUGUAACGUUGCAGGAGUAACACCUGCCGUUAGGACGAGCACCUCACGAUAGGACAAAUUUGCAGUAAAGGAAGUUGAUGGUUGAGAGAAGAAGGGACGCUUUCAUGCCUAUGACACAUAAAAUCGUUUAAUGUAAAUUGUAACAUGCAAUACCGGUAUGGUUCACACCAAAAUACGAUUUCUGACAGUCCACGCAAUUUACAAACGUCCCUUGUUAUGCUCCGCUGUAUACGCUCCAAGCUGUCCACCGAUUACAGAGACAGACGAACUUCAGAUCAGCAGGUGUAGACUCCCUUGAACUCUCCGAUGUUCCCUCGACACUGAGGAAGAGACAGGAGGCAUGUGUUUCUCCAGCCUGCUUCAGUGAGAGUUUUAAAUAAUACCACAACCUCAACUGUCCUCCCUGAUGUACAGACCACAGCGUCCUUAGUCAGAAAUGCAGCAGCUUCUGACUGACACAUGCGGGAAUGAAGAACCUGUGUCUGAAACAUCCUGCAUCUCCUGCUUCUAUGGAAACUUUGUGUAAUUUAUUACAGUUUUGAAUCUCUACUUUUUUACUAUAGUACAUUCCAGUACAUUGCUAAAUAUAUGAGAGAGAUUCAAAAUCCAUCAGCAGCAGUGUAUAUAUAUUUAGAUUUCAAUAGUAUAUAUAUUUUAGAUUAAU